UAUGGCUCAGGAUGAACGCUAGCUACAGGCUUAACACAUGCAAGUCGAGGGGAAACGAUAAAGAAAGCUUGCUUUUUCUAGGCGUCGACCGGCGCACGGGUGAGUAACGCGUAUCCAACCUGCCCAUCUCUUGGGGAUAACCUUGCGAAAGUAAGACUAAUACCCAAUGAUAUCUCUAGAAGACAUCUAGAAGGAGAUUAAAGAUUUAUCGGUGAUGGAUGGGGAUGCGUCUGAUUAGCUUGUUGGCGGGGUAACGGCCCACCAAGGCGACGAUCAGUAGGGGUUCUGAGAGGAAGGUCCCCCACAUUGGAACUGAGACACGGUCCAAACUCCUACGGGAGGCAGCAGUGAGGAAUAUUGGUCAAUGGGCGAGAGCCUGAACCAGCCAAGUAGCGUGCAGGAUGACGGCCCUAUGGGUCGUAAACUGCUUUUAUAAGGGAAUAAAGUGGGAGUCGUGACUCUUUUUGCAUGUACCUUAUGAAUAAGGACCGGCUAAUUCCGUGCCAGCAGCCGCGGUAAUACGGAAGGUCCGGGCGUUAUCCGGAUUUAUUGGGUUUAAAGGGAGCGUAGGCCGGAGAUUAAGCGUGUUGUGAAAUGUAGAUGCUCAACAUCUGCACUGCAGCGCGAACUGGUUUCCUUGAGUACGCACAAAGUGGGCGGAAUUCGUGGUGUAGCGGUGAAAUGCUUAGAUAUCACGAAGAACUCCGAUUGCGAAGGCAGCUCACUGGAGCGCAACUGACGCUGAAGCUCGAAAGUGCGGGUAUCGAACAGGAUUAGAUACCCUGGUAGUCCGCACGGUAAACGAUGGAUGCCCGCUGUUGGUCUGAAUAGGUCAGCGGCCAAGCGAAAGCAUUAAGCGUCCCACCUGGGGAGUACGCCGGCAACGGUGCAACUCAAAUGAAUUGACGGA
This 910-nucleotide ribosomal RNA is filed under the name uncultured bacterium. RNAcentral describes it as "bacterial SSU rRNA". It matches the Rfam family "Bacterial small subunit ribosomal RNA", at positions 18 to 917 of the family's 1533-position model. The record is from RNAcentral. RNAcentral also lists the same sequence under 1 other name.